GGGUCAUUAGGUUGGUCGUGCCACCGGUACGUACUGGUCUCACUGAUUCCUCCUUCCUGAAGAACCGUAACGCCAUUAAUUUGGUGUUGCGGGGAAACAGGACUGUUACUUUGAAAAAAUUAGAGUGUUUAAAGCAAGCUAAUGCUUGAAUACAUUAGCAUGGAAUAAUGAAAUAGGACGAUCGAUCCUAUUUUGUUGGUUUCUAGGAUUGACGUA
RNAcentral lists this ribosomal RNA (216 nucleotides) under Glomeromycotina sp. RNAcentral describes it as "partial small subunit ribosomal RNA". The stretch from base 87 to 216 matches the Rfam family "Eukaryotic small subunit ribosomal RNA", at positions 733 to 864 of the family's 1831-position model. The record is from RNAcentral. Lineage: Eukaryota; Fungi; Glomeromycota.